Molecule: transfer RNA, 71 nt
Filed under: Urocitellus parryii (Arctic ground squirrel)
Lineage: Eukaryota; Metazoa; Chordata; Mammalia; Rodentia; Sciuridae
Also listed under: 2 other names
Description: Spermophilus parryii (Arctic ground squirrel) tRNA
Rfam family: tRNA
About the family: Transfer RNA (tRNA) molecules are approximately 80 nucleotides in length.
Source: Rfam by way of RNAcentral
UAGAAUGUAGCUUAGUGGUAGAGCACUUGCCUAGCAUGCACAAGGCCCUGGGUUCUACCCCAGCACUGGAA